Molecule: non-coding RNA, 87 nt
Organism: Cordylochernes scorpioides
Lineage: Eukaryota; Metazoa; Arthropoda; Arachnida; Pseudoscorpiones; Chernetidae
Source: the annotation of a GenBank genome assembly
GUCCAGGGAUGGGAACCGAACCCACAGUGUAUAUAUGUAUAUAUUUUUAAAACCGGGCAGAUGCCAUGUCCACUAAGCUACCCUGGA